This 253-nucleotide ribosomal RNA is filed under the name uncultured bacterium. Its description in RNAcentral is "partial 16S ribosomal RNA". It matches the Rfam family "Bacterial small subunit ribosomal RNA", at positions 524 to 776 of the family's 1533-position model. The record is from RNAcentral.
UACGUAGGUGGCAAGCGUUAUCCGGAUUUACUGGGUGUAAAGGGCGUGUAGGCGGGACUGCAAGUCAGAUGUGAAAAUUAUAGGCUCAACCCAUAACCUGCAUUUGAAACUGUAGUUCUUGAGUGAUGGAGAGGCAGGCGGAAUUCCGUGUGUAGCGGUGAAAUGCGUAGAUAUACGGAGGAACACCAGUGGCGAAGGCGGCCUGCUGGACAUUAACUGACGCUGAGGCGCGAAAGCGUGGGGAGCAAACAGG